This 329-nucleotide unclassified non-coding RNA is filed under the name soil metagenome. RNAcentral's name for it is "partial contains 5.8S ribosomal RNA, internal transcribed spacer 2, and large subunit ribosomal RNA". The stretch from base 1 to 120 matches the Rfam family "5.8S ribosomal RNA", at positions 35 to 154 of the family's 154-position model. The record is from RNAcentral.
GAUGAAGAACGUAGUGAAAUGCGAUAAGUAGUGUGAAUUGCAGAAUUCAGUGAAUCAUCGAAUCUUUGAACGCACAUUGCGCCCCUUGGUAUUCCAUGGGGCAUGCCUGUCCGAGCGUCAUUACAACCCUCAAGCUCAGCUUGGUGUUGGGCCCCGCCGCCCCGGCGGGCCCUAAAGUCAGUGGCGGUGCCGUCCGGCUCCGAGCGUAGUAAUUCUUCUCGCUCUGGAGGUCCGGUCGCGUGCUCGCCAGCAACCCCCAAUUUUUUUCAGGUUGACCUCGGAUCAGGUAGGGAUACCCGCUGAACUUAAGCAUAUCAAUAAGCGGAGGA